Molecule: ribosomal RNA, 1622 nt
Filed under: Rhizochromulina marina
Lineage: Eukaryota; Dictyochophyceae; Rhizochromulinales
Description: partial Bacterial large subunit ribosomal RNA
Rfam family: Bacterial large subunit ribosomal RNA
Source: RNAcentral
AGGGGUGAAAGGCCAAUCAAACUCAGCGAUAGCUGGUUUUCCGCGAAAUCUAUUUAAGUAGAGCGUUCUAUAAGAAGUAAAUUAGGGGUAGAGCUCUCGCUAGAUUAGGGGGAAUUUAUAUUCUUACCAACUCUAAUGAAACUACGAAUACUAAAUUUAAUCCGUAGAGCAGACAGACAUUGGAUGCGAAGGUCUUUUGUCAAGAGGGAAACAGCCCAGAUUAAUCAUUAAGGUCUCCAAUAACAAUUAAGUGAAAAAUGCUGUGAAUGAACAUUGACAGUCAAUAGGUAGGCUUGGAAGCAGCCAUCUUUUAAAGAAAGCGUAACAGCUCGUUGAUCUAGUUCUUUUGCGCUGAAAAUGUACAGAGACUAAAUUGUUAACCGAAAUGGUAAAUAUAAAAAAUUAUAUGGUAGCGGAACGUUCUGUAGGUCGAAGAAGGAAAGCAGUAAUGUUUUCUAGAGAUAUCAGAAGUGAGUAUACUGGCAUGAGUAGCGUUAAACAAAGUGAAAAACUUUGUCGCCGUAAGCCCAAGGGUUUUGAAGCAAGGCUAAUCCUCUUCAAAUGUAAAAUUAUUUUUACUAUAAAAAGACGGCCCCUAAGUUGUAACACGAAAGUGUUAGAUAAUGGGAAAUCAAUUCUUUUUUAGAGUGACGAAGAUAAACAAUUAUAAGAAUAGAACUUUUCUUGUUUUUUAUAUCGUCCAAGAAAAAGCUCUAAAAUAAAAUAAAACCGUACUUUAAACCGACACAGGUGGGCGGGUUGAGUAAACUCAGGCGCUUGAGAGAAUUUUGUUGAAGGAACUCGGCAAAUUUGCCCUGUAACUUCGGGAGAAAGGGUGACUUAUUUUGGGCAACCAGAAUAAGUUGGCACUGAAAUGAAGGAGGUAACUGUUUAAUAAAAACUCAAGUCUCUGCUAAUUUGUAAAAAGACGUAUAGGGGCUGACACCUGCCCGGUGCUGAAAAGUUAAGUAGUUUAAGUUGUGGCUUGAACUAUAAUCUCCAGUAAACGGCGGCCGUAACUCUGACGGUCCAAAGGUAGCGAAAUUCCUUGUCGGGUAAGUUCCGACCUGCAUGAAUGGUGUAAUAACUUCCUUACUGUCUCCAACAAAAACUCAGUGAAAUUGAAUUAUCCGUGAAGAUGCGGAUUUCUUACAGCUAGACGGAAAGACCCCGUGCACUUUUACUAUAAGUAUUUAUUGCAAGAUUUUAUUAGAUGUGUAGAAUAAGUGGGAGUCGUUUGUAAAUCUCUACGUUAGUAGAUUAUUAAGACUUACGUGAAAUACCACUCUUUUAAUAAAGGCUUGCUAAUUUUAAUUAAAGACAGUUUAUACUGGGUAGUUUAGCUGGGGCGGCUGCCUCCUAAAGAGUAACGGAGGCGUGCAAAGGCAAGUUCAAACAACAAUCGUUGUUGUAGAGUGUAAUGAUAUAAGCUUGCUUGACUGUAAGAUUGAUAAAUCGAGCAGGGAUUAACGUCGGCCAUAGUGAUCCGGUGAUUUAAUGUGGAAUAGUCAUCGCUCAACAAAUAAAAAGUACGCCGGGGAUAACAGGCUGAUGCCUCUCUAGAGCUCUUAUCGACAGAGGCGUUUGGCACCUCGAUGUCGGCUCAUCACAUCCUGAAGCUG